Molecule: microRNA, 20 nt
Filed under: Marchantia polymorpha subsp. ruderalis
Lineage: Eukaryota; Viridiplantae; Streptophyta; Marchantiopsida; Marchantiales; Marchantiaceae
Source: RNAcentral
CAUCCAGGAUGAUCAAGACG